RNAcentral lists this long non-coding RNA (880 nucleotides) under Nicotiana benthamiana. RNAcentral's name for it is "long non-coding RNA (NBEN_LNC021660)". The record is from RNAcentral. Lineage: Eukaryota; Viridiplantae; Streptophyta; Magnoliopsida; Solanales; Solanaceae.
UUGGCUGUGCCAUAUCUGGCUUCGAGUUGUGCCCAUAUACUCUGUGCAGUCUCAGAAUAUUGCACACUAUCAGCUAUUUGAGGAGACAGAGAAGGAGUCAACCAGGAAAUUACCAUAUUAUUGCAUCUGUCCCAUAAUUUCUGUUAAGCCAAGUUAGUAUUUGGUCUAGGACAGGUACCAUCAGCAAAAUCAAUUUUGUUCUUAGCGGACAGGGCAACUAUCAUCUUCCUCUUCCAACCCCCAUAACCACUACCCGAGAAGGGAAUAGAAAUAAGGGAAACACCAGGAACAUUAUAAGAGUAAACAAAGAGAGGACUUGUAGGGUCAAUAGGUGGGGGAUUAAUAGGGUUCAUAUUUGCCAUCAGAAACAGAACAACAAUGAUGAGAGGAAAUUGAUUCAAUAUCUAUGAACUACAUGAUACAACAAAUAUUCCAGCAACAAAAACACAUGCAAGCUCUAAUCGAGAGUGAAAAUAGGGUUACCCGACUUCUACACUACCGGAGAAGAAACGGCCUUCAAAGGUUCAGAGAAAACCCUAGCUUCGUUCAUAGAAAACCCUAGCUUUCAGAGAAACCGGCAGAAUCAAGCAUGAGAGGUGUCGGAAGUUCACCCUAAACACUACGCUUGAAGAAUCAACAACAAACCAUCUCCGAUUUCACCAUCAGAUCGAAAAAAAUCCAGAAUCAUCACCAACAAAUCGAAAAAUCCAGAAAUUACCACCGAUAAUACAAUAAACCCGAAUCGGAAGAACCGAGAAGAUAAAGGAUACAUCCGAGAAGGAGAACCACGCUCUGAUACCAUGUCAACAUGGUGAAUCGGAGAUGAGAGAGAGAGAGAGAGAGAGAAAGAGAGAAAAAUCUUCUCUGAUUUUGAUUAAUG